GGGGGAUAUUGCACAAUGGAGGAAACUCUGAUGCAGCAACGCCGCGUGAGGGAAGACGGUUUUCGGAUUGUAAACCUCUGUCAUUGGUGACGAUAAUGACGGUAGCCAAUGAGGAAGCUCCGGCUAACUACGUGCCAGCAGCCGCGGUAAUACGUAGGGAGCAAGCGUUGUCCGGAAUUACUGGGUGUAAAGGGUGCGUAGGCGGGGAACCAAGUCAGGCGUGAAAACUAUCGGCUUAACCGGUAGCCUGCGUUUGAAACUGGUUCUCUUGAGUGAAGUAGAGGCAGGCGGAAUUCCCGGUGUAGCGGUGAAAUGCGUAGAGAUCGGGAGGAACACCAGUGGCGAAGGCGGCCCCCUGGACGAAGACUGACGCUGAGGCGCGAAAGCGUGGGGAGCAAAC
RNAcentral lists this ribosomal RNA (400 nucleotides) under uncultured bacterium. Its description in RNAcentral is "bacterial SSU rRNA". It matches the Rfam family "Bacterial small subunit ribosomal RNA", at positions 356 to 773 of the family's 1533-position model. The record is from RNAcentral.